This 468-nucleotide ribosomal RNA is filed under the name uncultured bacterium. Its description in RNAcentral is "partial 16S ribosomal RNA". It matches the Rfam family "Bacterial small subunit ribosomal RNA", at positions 28 to 507 of the family's 1533-position model. The record is from RNAcentral.
GACGAACGCUGGCGGCGUGCUUAACACAUGCAAGUCGAACGGAAAGGCCCUGCUUUUGUGGGGUGCUCGAGUGGCGAACGGGUGAGUAACACGUGAGUAACCUGCCCUUGACUUUGGGAUAACUUCAGGAAACUGGGGCUAAUACCGGAUAGGAGCUCCUGCUGCAUGGUGGGGGUUGGAAAGUUUCGGCGGUUGGGGAUGGACUCGCGGGUUAUCAGCUUGUUGGUGGGGUAGUGGCUUACCAAGGCUUUGACGGGUAGCCGGCCUGAGAGGGUGACCGGCCACAUUGGGACUGAGAUACGGCCCAGACUCCUACGGGGGGCAGCAGUGGGGAAUAUUGCACAAUGGGCGGAAGCCUGAUGCAGCAACGCCGCGUGCGGGAUGACGGCCUUCGGGUUGUAAACCGCUUUCGCCUGUGACGAAGCGGGAGUGACGGUAAUGGGUAAAGAAGCACCGGCUAACUACGUG